Molecule: long non-coding RNA, 219 nt
Filed under: Bos taurus (domestic cattle)
Lineage: Eukaryota; Metazoa; Chordata; Mammalia; Artiodactyla; Bovidae
Description: long non-coding RNA NONBTAT014193
Source: RNAcentral
AUGCGUAUUUCAUGGGGUAUGUCAGAUGACGUGAGAAGUUUUAGUCCUCUCUCUCAUCACCCAUGGACAGAAUCCUUUUCCCAAAUCUGACACGCCCUUCAGGUGAGCCAUGUCACCCACUCCCCAUCUGAGGGUCAGUUUGUGGGCAUUUCUGUUACUGCUGGGAUUUCUGUUCCUCAUCCUCUGAUGCGUUGGUCAGAGGUCUGCUGUCUGAUGCUU